RNAcentral lists this ribosomal RNA (468 nucleotides) under uncultured bacterium. Its description in RNAcentral is "partial 16S ribosomal RNA". It matches the Rfam family "Bacterial small subunit ribosomal RNA", at positions 28 to 507 of the family's 1533-position model. The record is from RNAcentral.
GACGAACGCUGGCGGCGUGCUUAACACAUGCAAGUCGAACGGAAAGGCCCUGCUUUUGUGGGGUGCUCGAGUGGCGAACGGGUGAGUAACACGUGAGUAACCUGCCCUUGACUUUGGGAUAACUUCAGGAAACUGGGGCUACUACCGGAUAGCAGCUCCUGCUGCAUGGUGGGGGUUGGAAAGUUUCGGCGGUUGGGGAUGGACUCGCGGCUUAUCAGCUUGUUGGUUGGGUAGUGGCUUACCAAGGCUUUGACGGGUAGCCGGCCUGGGAGGGUGACCGGCGACAUGGGGACUGAGAGACGGACCAGACUGCUACGGGAGGCAGCAGUGGGGAAUAUGGCACAAUGGGCGGAAGCCUGAGGCAGCAACGCCGCGUGCGGGAUGACGGCCUUCGGGUUGUAAACCGCUGUCGCCUGUGACGAAGCGUGAGUGACGGUAAUGGGUAAAGAAGCACCGGCUAACUACGUG